Molecule: long non-coding RNA, 486 nt
Filed under: Trifolium pratense (red clover)
Lineage: Eukaryota; Viridiplantae; Streptophyta; Magnoliopsida; Fabales; Fabaceae
Description: long non-coding RNA (TPRA_LNC000862)
Source: RNAcentral
AAUUUCUUCACUAAUAACUACAAUUGCUUAACUCCUAACUACAAUAAGAAACCAUAAAAUCAGUGCAACAAUAGUUAGAACCAAUUUUUUUUUCCACUUGAACCAACAAUAAAAUCAGUACAUUCCUAGGUUCUCUAUUGUUUAGGCAAUACACAGAGGUGAAAGAACACUACAAUUUUCAUGUCACGCGAGCUAUUACAAACACAAGACGAAUUGACACAAUUCUUCGACAUUUUGUUGCACUACCUUCAAACAAUAUGCAUAAAGAAGAAAUUAAAUUUAUGGUUCAAACUGUACCAACGAAAUUGAUGGCAACGAGUUAAACAUGGAAGGAGCAAGUUAAAAUUGAUCGAUAGAUUGAUUACCAAUAGAGGAGUAGCAUCAGAUUUACCAAUAGAUUGAUUAGAAUUUUUAUGUGGGAAAAAAAAUGUAGAAAUGUGGUUUGUAUGUAUAUAGUUCGAUUUUAAUUUUGCUAUAAUUCUUUUG